This 497-nucleotide ribosomal RNA is filed under the name uncultured bacterium. RNAcentral describes it as "partial 16S ribosomal RNA". It matches the Rfam family "Bacterial small subunit ribosomal RNA", at positions 28 to 507 of the family's 1533-position model. The record is from RNAcentral.
GAUGAACGCUGGCGGCGUGCCUAAUACAUGCAAGUCGAGCGAACGGACGAGAAGCUUGCUUCUCUGAUGUUAGCGGCGGACGGGUGAGUAACACGUGGAUAACCUACCUAUAAGACUGGGAUAACUUCGGGAAACCGUAGCUAAUACCGGAUAAUAUUUUGAACCGCAUGGUUCAAAAGUGAAAGACGGUCUUGCUGUCACUUAUAGAUGGAUCCGCGCUGCAUUAGCUAGUUGGUAAGGUAACGGCUUACCAAGGCAACGAUGCAUAGCCGACCUGAGAGGGUGAUCGGCCACACUGGAACUGAGACACGGUCCAGACUCCUGCGGGAGGCAGCAGUAGGGAAUCUUCCGCAAUGGGCGAGAGCCUGACAGAGCACCGCCGCGUGAGUGAUGAAGGUCCUCGGAUCGUAAAGCUCUGUUAUUAGGGAAGAACAUAUGUGUAAGUAACUGUGCACAUCUUGACGGUACCUAAUCAGAAAGCCACGGCUAACUACGUG